Molecule: ribosomal RNA, 234 nt
Filed under: uncultured bacterium
Lineage: Bacteria
Description: partial 16S ribosomal RNA
Rfam family: Bacterial small subunit ribosomal RNA
Source: RNAcentral
UGAGCAAUCUGCCCUUCUCUUCGGAAUAAGCGUGGGAAACCGCGUCUAAUGCCGAAUACGACCUCCUUUCGCAUGAUCGGAGGUGGAAAGCUCCGGCGGAGAAGGAUGAGCUCGCGGCCUAUCAGCUAGUUGGUGUGGGUAAUGGCCCACCAAGGCGACGACGGGUAGCCGGCCUGAGAGGGUGACCGGCCACACUGGGACUGAGACACGGCCCAGAUUCCACGGGAGGNAGCG